Non-coding RNA from Labrus bergylta (ballan wrasse), 718 nucleotides. NCBI's taxonomy places the organism in Eukaryota, Metazoa, Chordata, Actinopteri, Labriformes, Labridae. The record is from RefSeq and is a predicted model, not a curated record.
AAUAGACUUCUACAGCCUGUAUGGGACCAGCUGCCAUGGCUGUGAAUUCCCAAUCGAGGCUGGAGACAAGUUCCUGGAUGCCCUCGGUUACACCUGGCAUGACACCUGCUUCGUCUGCGCUGUGUGCUGCACCACUCUGGAGGGCCAGUCCUUCUUCUCCAAGAGAGACAAACCUCUUUGCAAGAAACACGCUCACACACUGAAGAUAUGAAGACUUCUCUCGUGUCCUGUCGUCGUACAUUUACUCUUAGUUUUUUGGUGUACAAAGGCCAAUAUAUAGAUGUUAACUCCACACGACAUGGACAUACAGAUAGAAGUCGAGAAAAGGGAAACGUAGCCAUGGAUGCAAAAAGUUUAUAUACAUGUUUAAGGACCCUGAUCCACUGCAGAAAUAAUAAUGUAUUUUCUUUCAUGAGAAGAGUUCUAUAUUUAAUUUGAUUUGAUUUUUGGGAUUUUGUUAAAUCAUGCAACCAGCAAAACAGGAGUUCUUCUUCUGAACGGGGCAAUUUUGAUGUACUACCAAGGCAGAAAUUUAAUAAUAUAUUUACUUUUGUGAUCUAAUUUUUUUUCUUUUUGACCAGAAUUGAAUCUUGUCCUUGGAAAAGCAUCAAACCACACAACACAUUAGAGCAGUGGUUCUCAACUCGUCCAGCCUCAGGACCCACCAGCAACACCUCCAGGAGGAAACCGACCCAAAUUUCAGAAUUGUUUAAACCAA